UACGUAGGGUGCGAGCGUUGUCCGGAAUUAUUGGGCGUAAAGAGCUUGUAGGCGGUUUGUCGCGUCUGCCGUGAAAAUCCGGGGCUCAACCCCGGACUUGCGGUGGGUACGGGCAGACUAGAGUGUGGUAGGGGAGACUGGAAUUCCUGGUGUAGCGGUGAAAUGCGCAGAUAUCAGGAGGAACACCCGUAGCGAAGGCGGCACUCUGGGCCGAUACUGACACUGAGGAGCGAAAGCGUGGGGAGCGAACAGG
Molecule: ribosomal RNA, 253 nt
Filed under: uncultured bacterium
Lineage: Bacteria
Description: partial 16S ribosomal RNA
Rfam family: Bacterial small subunit ribosomal RNA
Source: RNAcentral